This 271-nucleotide ribosomal RNA is filed under the name uncultured archaeon. RNAcentral describes it as "partial 16S ribosomal RNA". It matches the Rfam family "Archaeal small subunit ribosomal RNA", at positions 477 to 747 of the family's 1478-position model. The record is from RNAcentral.
CAGCGCCACAAGUGGGGGCCAUGUUUAUUGGGCCUAAAGCGUUCGUAGCCGGUUUGAUAAAUCUCUUGUGAAAUCGUUUGGCUCAACCAAACGGCGAGCAGGAGACACUAUCAAACUUGAGACCGGGAAGGGUUAGAGGUAUGCUUGGGGGAGCGGUAAAAUGCUAUAAUCCCUUGCAGACCAAUGGUGGCGAAGGCGUCUAACUAGAACGGAUCUGACGGUGAGGGACGAAAGCCAGGGGAGCAAUCCGGAUUAGAUACCCGAGUAGUCC